CGCGGACGAGCGUCCGGCUGCGCGCGCCGUGCCGAAGCGCCGUCGAGCGGCGUCGACAUCGCCGUCUGCGUCCGAUACGCAGUCCGCGCCCA
RNAcentral lists this transfer RNA (92 nucleotides) under Caballeronia fortuita. RNAcentral describes it as "tRNA-Gly". The record is from RNAcentral. Lineage: Bacteria; Pseudomonadati; Pseudomonadota; Betaproteobacteria; Burkholderiales; Burkholderiaceae.